GUGCCGCAGGUGGGUGGCAGCAAGGCCAUCCCUGUGUCCUGGUGUCCUCAUGCUGGGCUCGUCCAUGCUGCCGGCUGCCUCUGUGGGGCUGCCUGGGAGGCAGUGUGUGAGCUGUCAUGGCACGUCAUCACAUUUAGUGGUGGCGGCAGCGUGGGGUCUGCCAGCAGACAGCCCAGCCUGUACCUGGGGCGGUACAGGGAGCUACUGCAGCACCAGCAUGUAGAGCCUGCAGACACACACACAUGUCAGAGAACACAGUGUCCACCACCAGGCUGUGUUCAUCACCCACCUGUAAUCACCUUUAAAUGUGAGUUCAGCUACUUGGGAGCUCACAUUCAUUUCCCUUGGUGGGUCUCUAAUCAUGCUCCUGACAGUCACCCUCUUAACCACCCUUCUAUUUCUGGCAUGCAUGUCAAAGAUGACAGGAUAUUCAUCAGCCAGGAGUGAGGAUCAGCUCUGUCAGCUCCAGCGCUCCCUCCCAGCUCGCACUGCCAAGCACCAUCCGCACACUUCUUCCAUCAGCGCCAUCGCAAGUUUGACUGACACGGGUGUAUUAAUAACACAAGAGCCAAGAUCUCUUUUCCAUAAAGCUGCACUAAUUGACUCUGAUUACAUUUCCUCACUUCAGGACUGCUUCCACCAGUGCUGGCAGCUGCUGUCCCAUCCCUCGGUGCGGCUGGGUGCCAGAGGGGCUGCACUGACGCAGGACAUCCUGUUUACUUGCAGGCGGUGAUGGCAGGUCGUCAUCCCAGCACCUGGGGACGCCCAUUAAUGGGCUCCUCACCCACUCCUUUACACUCUGCCAUGUGUCAGAGCUGCUGAUUUGAAAAUCCAAGCUCUGCAGCUAUUGUUUAACACCUUCCUGAAGCUCUCGUAGGGUGGGAAGCGUUUUGUAGCUAUUAUAUUUUAUAGCGCACUGUAUUGUUUGGCUUUUGCCCUCCAAACGCUGAACAGAAAUUAUUGAGUACCUCUCCUUUAUACGUGAUUCGUCAUCCCCUGGAUGGGCUGGCAGAGGCUUUUUCUUGUGCUCACCGCUCCUUCCCUCAGCACAAUGUGCUCCCCGGUGUCAUGAACUCAAACCCUUUACCCCGCUCUAUUUGGGCAGC
RNAcentral lists this long non-coding RNA (1106 nucleotides) under Coturnix japonica (Japanese quail). RNAcentral describes it as "lncRNA (ENSCJPG00005012478.1)". The record is from RNAcentral. Lineage: Eukaryota; Metazoa; Chordata; Aves; Galliformes; Phasianidae.